UGUUGAGAGCAGAUUGGACCUGAGGAAGAAUCUGCGCUGCCAGAGCUUCAAGUGGUACCUGGAGAAUGUCUACCCUGAACUCAGUGGACUCUCCUCUCUCCCUGUGACUCUCCUCCAGCAUCCCCAAGGAGUCCUCCAUCCAGAAGGGCAAUAUCCGACAGAGACAGAAGUGCCUGGAAUCUCAAAGGCAGAACAACCAAGAAACCCCAAACCUAAAGUUGAGCCCCUGUGCCAAGGUCAAAGGCGAAGAUGCAAAGUCCCAGGUAUGGGCCUUCACAUACACCCAGCAGAUCCUCCAGGAGGAGCUGUGCCUGUCAGUCAUCACCUUGUUCCCUGGCGCCCCAGUGGUUCUUGUCCUUUGCAAGAAUGGAGAUGACAGACAGCAAUGGACCAAAACUGGUUCCCACAUCGAGCACAUAGCAUCCCACCUCUGCCUCGAUACAGAUAUGUUUGGUGAUGGCACCGAGAAUGGCAAGGAAAUCGUUGUCAACCCAUGUGAGUCCUCACUCAUGAGCCAGCACUGGGACAUGGUGAGCUCUUGAGGACCCCUGCCAGAAGCAGCGAGGGCCAUGGGGUGGUGCUUCCCUGGACCAGAACAGACUGGAAACUGGGCAGCAAGCAGCCCGCAACCACCUCAGACAUCCUGGACUGGGAGGUGGAGGCAGAGCCCCCCAGGACAGGAGCAACUGUCUCAGGGAGGACAGAGGAAAACAUCACAAGCCAAUGGGGCUCAAAGACAAAUCCCACAUGUUCUCAAGGCCGUUAAGUUCCAGUCCUGGCCAUUCUUUCCCUGUUUGGUAUCUGGAGACAGAAAGCUAACGGGAAGUGUUUAUUGUUCCUUUUC
RNAcentral lists this small RNA (844 nucleotides) under Pan troglodytes (chimpanzee). RNAcentral describes it as "processed transcript". Lineage: Eukaryota; Metazoa; Chordata; Mammalia; Primates; Hominidae. The record is from RNAcentral.